CACAUUCCCAUGCUAUACACCCCUCUUCACUCCACCCCUCCCUCCUUUGUGAUUGAAAAUGAGAGUCCCUUCACCUUUAAAAAGAAAAUAGAUGAGCGGUCUGCACCCGCAAGGCGGUGCUCUUGUUUAUAUCUAUUUCUUAAUAUUUUUCAGUAGUAAUAAUGUCUAAGAAUGUAUCUGGGUAGAAUGAAUAUCUGUUCUUUUAAAGGUUGUAACUGAUGCUCUAUUUCUUUUGGACAUGACAUGUAACUGUCUCGUUUGUACAGAGAUUCAAUUAAAUACUACAUUUUAUUAUGUGUGAUUCUAUUUUUGUGUUCCAAAUAGGCAGUCUGACAUAUUAGGUAUAUUGAAAACUCUUACAUAUAACAUUUGUAAGUAUCUGUUAUUAAUGACAGUUAAAUGAAACAAUGGUUGUAUAGUUGUGUAUAUUACAAAGAAUAAUUAUUGUUAUAUUUCGAAAUUAGAAUUAUGUUUAUAUUUUAAUUUUCAUACACUUUCAACUAUAAUUUGUAAUAGUGCCGUUGCUACUUAAAUUUUAUGUGGUUUGGAUGCACACUGUUAUAUUCUAUGCUCUUUCAAAAUACAAUUAAGGUUUCACCUUAACGGUUAUAACGCGAGUGAAAAGCAUCCAUAUGUAGCAAUAUACACUGUUAACAUGUGAUUUAAAACAAGUUUUGUUCAAUUAUCUGUAAAGUUCAUUCAUAACUAUUUUAUAACAUGUCUGCUAAAUCCACUUACUAUAUUCAAGCAUUUUGCAUUAUUGUUUUUGUUUAACACUAGAAACUGUAAAGUUUAUGUGUAAUAAAAUUAUGUUCUGUUCUGUAACGAUUGUAUGCUGAUGUAGUUGUUGCAUUAACAUUAAGUAGACAUAAAAAUUAGGUAUUCUGUAUACUACUAACAUUUUAUUGUGAUUCAAGUUGUAUUAAGUUUUGUUCUCUAAACAGAUAUUGAAUUAUUUUACUGAUACAACAACAUACGGUAUUAAAGCAGUUCCAUAUAUAGCUAGAUACACUGUUAUCAUGUUUGUCUAAAAUAUCUGUAAAGUCUAUCCAUAACCAAAUUAUGAUAUUUCUGUUAGAAAAAAAACGACAAACUAUAUGUAUUCAUGUAUUUUGUAUAAUCGCUUUGUUUAACACUAGAAACUGUAAAGUUUAUGUGUAAUAAAAUUAUGUUCUGUAUAUUACAUGAUAAUCUAUCAAUGUUGUUUUGUGAACACAACCUCUGGUUCUAUGGAAAAAAAACACAAACCUUAAGCACUUAAUUUGUCGGUGUGUGUGCAUUUGUGUGUAUGGGUGUGCGAUAAAUUGCAAGUGUUUCCUGUUCGUGUGUUUGUGUUUUGUGUGAAUUAUGUUAAGCAAAUUAAUUUAACAAAAAAGUUUAUUUGACUUUAUUAGAUGAUAGUAUUGAGUAUCCUACCAAGAAAAAUUGGUGCACGCUAUUAAGGGAUCUACUAAGUAAUUUGGGAUUUUAUGAUGCUUGUUUUUUUCAAGAUGUUGGAAAUGAAAAUAUGUUUGUAUCAGUCGUAAGACAAAGAUAGAGCGACAUGUUUGUACAGAAUUGGAAUGAGCGACUUCAUACUUCUACUAGGGCAAAUUUUUAUAAACAUAUCUCCGUUUUUCAAUUUCAACCGUACCUGAAUAUAUGCAAUGUCAACAAGUUUCGAGUAAAUUUAUCAAAAUUACGUAUGUCAUCACAAAGAUUAAAUAUCUAGACAGGCAGAUGGGCUAGACCUACACCAAUUCCAUUAGAUCAAAGAAAGUGUACUGUUUGUAAUAAACUCGAAGAUGAGUUUCAUUUUAUUCUUGAAUGUACAAUAUAUACUGAACUGAGAUCAAAAUAUAUUCCAUUGUAUUACAGACAACGACCAAACAUGUACAAGUUUAUCGAGCUAAUAACAGCAAAUAAUGAACUAUUAAUAAAAAAAUUAAGCUGUUAUAUUUAUCACUCUUUUAAGGUUCGAACGCAUAAUUCAUGUGUCAUCAAUUUGAUUUAUUCUGAAAUGUUUUGUGCAGUAUAUAUCUUGUUGUAACUUUAAUUGCAUUUAUUAUGUACUGCAUAUUAAUUGUUGGGAUAGUACCGCAUAUGUAACGUGUUUUUAUUCACAUGUUUUUUAAUCUGUCUUUGUGUUUGAACGGUCGCCUUUAAUGGACUGUCAAAACUGUAUUUGAAUGUAUUUAAUCAAUUGCCAUUAUUAUCUUUUUAAUGAAGGUUAUAUUAUAGUAUCGUGUCUGUUCCUAGAUGUAUUCUACGACAAUAUGGCUGCAUUUUUAGAACUGUUAUGCACUGAUUUACAACUAUUAUGUCACAUUAAAUACUGUACUUGUAACAUCUAUAUUUUCAUAGAGCAUAUUACAUGACCUUUUGACCAUCUACAUUUUUUAUUGCGUAGGUGGUCUGUUUAAGGUUUAUGAAAUGCUUGUUUUUAAUAUCAAACGCAAUCAGUUAAAACAUUUUGUUUCUCGUGUUUGUUUAACUACAGACACCUUGUCAUAAUGUCAUAAUAUCAGUUUAAUUAAAUAAUAUAUUGUACUAUGUGCAGAGCCUUUGAGCUGCCUAUAUUUUCGUUUCGCAAAGGUAGCAAGCAAGGGCUAAUUCUUAUGAAAUUGAUACAAGCAUAGAAAAAGCAUAAUUGAUAUUUAGUUAAAUACUGUUUGCUAUCACGUGAAACGAAAUUUGUUACGCGGGGUAAGUAAAAGUGUUAUUAUUAUGACAAUUGUCAUGUGAAGACCCAAUAUAUGUACAAUAUGCUUAUUUGAUAUUUUGUUGUCAUAAUUAAGCUCCAUUACAAAUGAUGUAAUACGACCUAUUCAAUUACAUAUAUACUAUCAAUGGUUAUUAAUAUAAUUAUACCUAUAUUUAUGCCCCCCUUCGAAGAAGAGGGGGUAUAUUGCUUUGCUCAUGUCGGUCGGUCGGUCGGUCCGUCCACCAGGUGGUUUCCGGAUGAUAACUCAAUAACGCUUGGGCCUAGGAUCAUGAAACUUCAUAGGAACAUUGAUCAUGACUCGCAGAUGACCCCUAUUGAUUUUGAGGUCACUAGGUCAAAGGUCAUAGUGACCAGAAAUAGUAAAAUGGUUUCCGGAUGAUAUCUCAAGAACGCUUAUGCCUAGGAUCAUGAAACUUCAUAGGUACAUUGAUCAUGACUCGCAGAUGACCCCUAUUGAUUUUCAGGUCACUAGGUCAAAGGUCAAGGUCACGGUGACCCGAAAUAGUAACAUGGUUUCCGGAUGAUAACUGAAGAACGCUUAUGCCUAGGAUCAUGAAACUUGAUAGGUAGAUUGAUCAGGACUCGCAGAUGACCCCUAUUGAUUUUCAGGUCACAAGGUCAAAGGUCACAGUGACAUAAAACAUAUUCACACAAUGGCUGUCACUACAACGUAGAGCCCAUAUGGGGGGCAUGCAUGUUUUACAAACAGCCCUUGUUAAUGAAACAUGUAUGAAUUGUUGCAAUGAAACGUGUUUUUUUUCUUUUUCUUUUUUGUAAAUUCAUGUAUUAUUUAUUUUGUAAACACUGUAUGCUUACUGAGUCCACUUGGGCUUUUGGCCUUCUGGGUGUGUUGUUUAAUAAACAAUAUGUAAGACUUAUCAAACGUACUGAUAAAUACUAUUGUUUAUAUAGCAUUCAACAUGACUUUUGGACCAUGUAUAUGUUAAUUUCGUAGGUGACCUGUAUAGGGUUUAUACAAUGAUAUUGAAUAUAAAUUAAUAUCAAACUUCAUUGUUUCCAGAGCCUUUGGGUUGCCUAUAUUUCCGUUUCGUAUAGGUAGACUGUAAGGGCUGACGUUUAUGCUAUUAUUACAUGCAUGUGUUUUAAUUGACUUUAAUCUAGAAGAUCUGUCAACAAGUCUUUUACAAGCCUGUUACUAUCAGAAACUGUUCUACUACCCUUAAACAUAUGAUGUAUAUAUAAAUGUACUAGUAACAUACGAAUAUUCAUAAUAAAACCGACUAUGUUAA
Long non-coding RNA from Dreissena polymorpha, 3954 nucleotides. RefSeq lists it as uncharacterized. The record is from RefSeq and is a predicted model, not a curated record. Lineage: Eukaryota; Metazoa; Mollusca; Bivalvia; Myida; Dreissenidae. The transcript is spliced from 2 exons.